Molecule: ribosomal RNA, 253 nt
Filed under: uncultured bacterium
Lineage: Bacteria
Description: partial 16S ribosomal RNA
Rfam family: Bacterial small subunit ribosomal RNA
Source: RNAcentral
UACGUAGGGUGCAAGCGUUAAUCGGAAUUACUGGGCGUAAAGCGUGCGCAGGCGGUUAUUCAAGACAGAUGUGAAAUCCCCGGGCUCAACCUGGGAACUGCAUUUGUGACUGGAUGACUAGAGUACGGCAGAGGGGGAUGGAAUUCCGCGUGUAGCAGUGAAAUGCGUAGAUAUGCGGAGGAACACCGAUGGCGAAGGCAAUCCCCUGGGCCUGUACUGACGCUCAUGCACGAAAGUGUGGGGAUCAAACAGG